UACGAACUGUGCAAACGUUAUUCGGAAUCACUGGGCUUAAAGGGUGCGUAGGCGGUCAUUUAGGUAGGGUGUGAAAGCCCCCGGCUCAACCGGGGAAUUGCGCCCUAAACCGGGUGACUGGAGUGAGAUAGGGGUGUGUGGAACUUCCGGUGGAGCGGUGAAAUGUGUUGAUAUCGGAAGGAACGCCGGUGGCGAAAGCGACACACUGGGUCUCAACUGACGCUGAGGCACGAAAGCCAGGGGAGCAAACAGG
This 253-nucleotide ribosomal RNA is filed under the name uncultured bacterium. RNAcentral describes it as "partial 16S ribosomal RNA". It matches the Rfam family "Bacterial small subunit ribosomal RNA", at positions 524 to 776 of the family's 1533-position model. The record is from RNAcentral.